RNAcentral lists this long non-coding RNA (4857 nucleotides) under Homo sapiens (human). RNAcentral describes it as "HSALNT0359186". Lineage: Eukaryota; Metazoa; Chordata; Mammalia; Primates; Hominidae. The record is from RNAcentral.
GCCUCAACUGGUUCCCAAGAGGAAGUUCUCUACGUGUCUUCAAAAAGAGGCAAGGAUGUGCUGCCAUAAAGAUAGGUAUAUCCUCUGCCUCUAUAAAAGCUUUACCGUGCUUUACCAUCUUUCAAGAAGCAACUCCAAUGGGCCCUCCUCUACAAAGUCUUCCCUAACCCUCAAAUCUUCACAGUGCCUGCCUGCUCUCUCUUCUUCCUUUUAAUUCCCAAAGUACUUAUGCAUCUCUUAUGGUAGUUUGAAUCGGUAUGAUAGCUAGCCAUACAAUGUCCUCUCUUCCAUACCAGGAUGUAAGCUGCAUCAGAGGCAUGUUCUGUGUCUUUACACGUCCUGCUGUCACCAGCACCAGAAAAGAGAUGCUCAAAACACAGUCUUCACACAAAUCCUUAUACAAAUCUUUUAAUAAGAAGUAGAAGUUCAAUAAAUAUUCAUUAAAUUAAUAAAUGAAUGAGCACACUAAUUAAAUAAUUAAUUAAUUUCAUGCAACAUCUUACCUGGCUACAGCAAUUAACCCUACUCGUCAAUGCGCGGUAAAUGAAGGAAGGAUAUGUAUCUGAUGGGGCACAGUGGUGGGUGAAUGAAGAAAAAAAAAUCAGCUACUCCAGGUGCCUAGCAUGCAUCAGAAAUUGUGACUGUUCCCCAAAUGUUCAACAGACACCACCUUCAAACAGGACAUUGUUAGAUAAUGACACUUUCUGAUGUCCUUUGAUGUAGAGCACAUUAAAAAUAUUAUCAGAGGGAAAAUCUUUCUGUUCAAAAUCCCCCAACCUCUUCAACUGUGUAUUUAGUUUUCAUCAAUUAAAUUAUUAUAUCAUUUCAAUGGGUGACUUUUUAUAUACACUGGAAAGGUACUCAUAAGAAAAUAGCUUCCAAAUUGGCAAUUUUUAAAAGCAAAGCAACUGGUUAGGUGAGGAAUGCAUAAACAACCCCAAAAGCGGCACUGAAUACUUUUCUUUGGCUGUAUACGACUGAAAAACUGCCAAGUUCAUUUCGAUAAGCCUUUGUUAAAAACAAUAAACAUGCCUGAGCUUGCAAACUAUGCUGUUUUGAAGAAAAAGCAAUUGAGAGAAUUAGAAAAUGCUUAAAACUGGAAUGUCUAAUAGUCUAUGAAUAUGGAGGAAAGUGGGGGACAAAAUGUAAAGUGAGACAAAAUAACAACAGAACACCAUCUUCAUAAAUAAAUAAAAAGCAACAUCUUAUAAACUAAUUUAAUUAGUCUCCAAUACUAACAUGGUACCACUAACACUCUUAAGAAAACAAAUCAUCCCGUGCUUCAAGUUUAGUCACCAAGGUGAUCUCCCUGCAAUAAAGGAAAUGUAAUUUCAUUGACUCCAAAUGAACAUAUAUUAAAUAACCAAAUGUGGGAACUGCAAUUCACUUACAGUAAAAUGUCAGCUCAUAAAAGUCAAAGUAACUUCACCUGAAUUUGUUUUUUUGUUGUUGUUGUUGUCGUUUUUAGUUUUUUUUUUUUCCAUGAUUAUAAGAUUCUCAGAAUUGCAGGAUUGGAAGGAAGAUAGUUUGGAUCACUUAUGUUUAUUUUCCUGCUUAGGUAAAACUGAAAUUCUCUUGUACCUGCCUAAGAAAUCCUGGAAAAAUUCUAGUGAAUAAAUUGCAACUUGAGCUCUAUAGGAUCAAAGUUCUUUGUUUUGUUCAUUGACAUAUCCCAAAUGCCCAGAACAGCACUAGGCAUACAGUAGGCACUCAAUAAAUAUCUGCUCAAUUGAACUAAAUUGAAAAAUAUGCAGUGCAAUGCAAUGUUAAAUAAGUCACUUUGAAACUCCUUUCUUAGCUUUGUUUUGGUCAUAGUAUUAAUCACAAUAAACAAACAGUCCUCAUAUAAAACACUUCAACACUAUAAUUCAUGUUUUUACUUCUGAUCGAUCAUUACCAUAGAGGGUGCUGAGAAUCAGAAAAGACUCCAAGGAAAGAUGGGGGUAGAGUUACUCCCAUCUAUUUGGACUAAUUUUCUUCUUCUGGGCAUUCACCUGAGAAGUAUCUGUAUAUCCAUAAUAUAAAAAUAAUUUAAAAUAUUACUUAAAAUUAAAGGUUUGCACCUUUAAAAAUUGUGCCACAAAAGCAAUUUGAUUAAAUCAACCUCUCAUCUAUUUCAGAAUCCCAUCAGUUAAAAAAAAAAAACAUAAAAAAUAAGAACAGGAAAAUGAUGUGAUUAGGUGAUGCUAGUCAUAUUAUUUUUGCUCAAAAUGCCUAGAGGCAAUAUGCCUUGGAAAACUGAGUUAGGUGGGAAUGAGAAGAUCUGGAUUCUAGUGUUGAUUCCAUCACCAGUUAACAGUAUGAAUUCAGCCAAUCCUUGCCAAUCUGGAUCUGAGCUUCCUGGGCUGUAACGUGAAGAGUUUGAAUUUAGUAGAUGGUCUCCAAAGCCUUUCAGUUUCAAAGUUUCUCUAAACCCUGUAAUUAUAAGUGACUAAAUCCAGUUCACCUAAUUACUACCACUACUCUUUUACAUCCUUCAUUUCUUCAGCAAACAUCCGGUCACCUUGGGGGCGCAGGGGGUGGAGGAUGUCAAACACCAUUAGCCACAGUUUGGCACGACAUUUAUGGAGGGGGAGCGACAAACAAUGCAAGGGCAGCUAGCUGAUGAUUUUAACUGUUAGCGAGCUUACACCUGUGGAGCGAAUGUGUUUCUGAAUUUGAAAGGCCGGAAGAUUUUCCCCCUGGGCUAAGCUGGUGACGCCGCGGGAGUGCCUAGCUCUGAGCAAAGAACCAGUUCCUGUGAUAUCCCAGGGGCGAUAGUGCCUUUCUCUCCGGGUGCUUUGAGGAUUACAUGAGAUGACAAAUACGAGAGUGGCGGGCACAGCCUGACCCAGGUCACUGUUUGAAGAAUGUGGAUGUCUACUCAUUCAUGAAGCUCUGUGAAGGAAACAAACUGGAAAUCAAAGGAGGUGCAUAAUAUUGUAGAUUAUGAAAGAAAGAUAACUACAGGACUCCAAUCGGAGAAACCAUGCUCAAAAAUAGGCGUUGGUCUCACAUCAAAAGAUUGUAUUUUAGCAAAAAAGAGGGAAGAAGGAGAGAGGACCAGAGGGAGGAGGAAGAAGAAAAUAUAGAGAAAGCAUGUGUUGUGAAGCCUUAAUGAUUGCAGAAUCUGCACUGAUGGAUUAAUGGAGGUUCUUUAUACUGUUCUCUCUCCUUUACAUAUGUUUAUGAAUUUUCUUAAUAAAAAGCUGAUAAAGCAAGAUAUAGAAUAGUAUAUGGAGGGUGAAUUGUAUAGCAUAUAAUUAUAUUUCAAUAAAGCUAUUAUUUUGUAAAAAGAAUGCUAUAUAGAGUUUGCUACCUUUGGAAAGAUAAAUGUAUCCUACAUUACAUACAAUAUAAACAAAGAUAUAUUGUAAUACGUACAAUAAAAACAAACAAAAAAACCCUAAAAAAAAUGGCAGCCUCUACUGAGGUUAACACUGAGAGACAGAAGUGGAAAUGGUGACUCACUUCCUUGUGUAUCCUUCUAAUGUCUUAGAAGUCUGUAUUAUGUGUUUGUAUUAUCUAUCCAAAAAUUUGAAUCAGAAAAUUUAUAACUGAUGGGGAAGCAUUUCACAGCAUCUCAAGAAUCACAGCAAAAAUGUUUUAGAUUUGGUAAACGUGGUGUCCCUCAAUGAAAUGGCUGCAAUCAAAGGUUCUCAAAUCAGUGACUCCAGAGAGCAAAGCAAGGACUGAGGGACUUGGUGGCUGCUCUCAUGGGAAAUGCAACACUGCCAGUCACUGGUGCGGCCACUGGGAGUCUGCACUGACUGGACACCCUCUGGUAGAGCCUUGGCCCCAAGGCGACUGGUGAUUCCCUUCACUCAUUCAGCCCCACAGAAACAUAUAAAAUAGUUGCUCAAACCAGUGUAUAACAUGGCUACAUUUUCAAAUUGGCACUCGCUCUACUCCACCAAUCAACAAUAUUGAAAUUGAAAUCAAAAGUGAAAAGUAAAGUCAGUUGCUCUCUCCCAAAGGGAUUCUGAUGCCUGUGAAAAGACCUGCUGACCUGCUGGCUCACUCCAGCAAAAAGCACAAGAAGCCAGCUCUGCGGAAAGUAGGGGAAAGGGCAUCUAUUGCUCUGUGGGGCAAGGGUUGUUACCAGCUGACCUUUGAGAGCCCAUGAGUACAGCCAACUACACACAUAUUGGUCUUGGGGCUUGUUUCAUUACUUGGAAAAAUUCCCUUUAAAGGUUAAUGUCAAGAAAUAAACUCUGUUACAUUGAGUCCCAUGACUCAAGUGGACUUUGAAAAAACAUCUCUGGAAUGCUCUUUUCUCUGAGUAUCAGCCUCCCAUUUAAACUCCGUCUGAACUGAGGGCUUCCAAAAAGGUAUAUCGCUGAUCUGCAGGCCAGUAACAUACUCUGUUCAGUGUUAUGCAAGGAGAGUAUGUUUUUUGUCAACCCAGAACUCAAAGGCAGGGCUAACACCCAUGUAUCAUAAAGACUGCCUCAUACACUAACAUUCAACUAUUCAACUGAGAGGGGGCUCAAGGGGCUUUCUGAGUACCUAUAAUGUUCUAUUUCUUGAUCUGGGUGAUGGCUAUACAGGGUUGCUUGUGUGUGUAAAUUAAACUGUAAGCUUAUAAUUUGAGCCUUCUUCUGUAUGUAUGUCACCUCUAUUAAAAGCUGUAUUUAUAAAAACUCCAUUACAGAUCUACUGUGGUUCUUUAAUACUCUCCUAUGACCUGUUCCAUGCCUCAACUCCUCUUUCCUGUCUUUCUAAUAUACCUCAGUGUGAAGAGUUCUACUUUAUACACCUUGUAUUUCAGAAAAGGUUCAAUUUUUUCCAAACGAAUCUUGCAAUGCUUCAAAACAUGUUAAUACAACUUUGUAUGUCACCAGCUCCACCCCUUUUUGUGCCUGGGACUCUGGCUGG